GGUUAAGCGACUAAGCGUACACGGUGGAUGCCCUGGCAGUCAGAGGCGAUGAAGGACGUGCUAAUCUGCGAUAAGCGUCGGUGAGGUGAUAUGAACCGUUAUAACCGGCGAUUUCCGAAUGGGGAAACCCAGUGUGUUUCGACACACUAUCAUUAACUGAAUCCAUAGGUUAAUGAGGCGAACCGGGGGAACUGAAACAUCUAAGUACCCCGAGGAAAAGAAAUCAACCGAGAUUCCCCCAGUAGCGGCGAGCGAACGGGGAGGAGCCCAGAGCCUGAAUCAGUGUGUGUGUUAGUGGAAGCGUCUGGAAAGGCGCGCGAUACAGGGUGACAGCCCCGUACACAAAAAUGCACAUGCUGUGAGCUCGAUGAGUAGGGCGGGACACGUGGUAUCCUGUCUGAAUAUGGGGGGACCAUCCUCCAAGGCUAAAUACUCCUGACUGACCGAUAGUGAACCAGUACCGUGAGGGAAAGGCGAAAAGAACCCCGGCGAGGGGAGUGAAAAAGAACCUGAAACCGUGUACGUACAAGCAGUGGGAGCCUCUUAAUGGGGUGACUGCGUACCUUUUGUAUAAUGGGUCAGCGACUUAUAUUCUGUAGCAAGGUUAACCGAAUAGGGGAGCCGAAGGGAAACCGAGUCUUAACUGGGCGUUAAGUUGCAGGGUAUAGACCCGAAACCCGGUGAUCUAGCCAUGGGCAGGUUGAAGGUUGGGUAACACUAACUGGAGGACCGAACCGACUAAUGUUGAAAAAUUAGCGGAUGACUUGUGGCUGGGGGUGAAAGGCCAAUCAAACCGGGAGAUAGCUGGUUCUCCCCGAAAGCUAUUUAGGUAGCGCCUCGUGAAUUCAUCUCCGGGGGUAGAGCACUGUUUCGGCAAGGGGGUCAUCCCGACUUACCAACCCGAUGCAAACUGCGAAUACCGGAGAAUGUUAUCACGGGAGACACACGGCGGGUGCUAACGUCCGUCGUGAAGAGGGAAACAACCCAGACCGCCAGCUAAGGUCCCAAAGUCAUGGUUAAGUGGGAAACGAUGUGGGAAGGCCCAGACAGCCAGGAUGUUGGCUUAGAAGCAGCCAUCAUUUAAAGAAAGCGUAAUAGCUCACUGGUCGAGUCGGCCUGCGCGGAAGAUGUAACGGGGCUAAACCAUGCACCGAAGCUGCGGCAGCGACGCUUAUGCGUUGUUGGGUAGGGGAGCGUUCUGUAAGCCUGUGAAGGUGUGCUGUGAGGCAUGCUGGAGGUAUCAGAAGUGCGAAUGCUGACAUAAGUAACGAUAAAGCGGGUGAAAAGCCCGCUCGCCGGAAGACCAAGGGUUCCUGUCCAACGUUAAUCGGGGCAGGGUGAGUCGACCCCUAAGGCGAGGCCGAAAGGCGUAGUCGAUGGGAAACAGGUUAAUAUUCCUGUACUUGGUGUUACUGCGAAGGGGGGACGGAGAAGGCUAUGUUGGCCGGGCGACGGUUGUCCCGGUUUAAGCGUGUAGGCUGGUUUUCCAGGCAAAUCCGGAAAACCAAGGCUGAGGCGUGAUGACGAGGCACUACGGUGCUGAAGCGACAAAUGCCCUGCUUCCAGGAAAAGCCUCUAAGCAUCAGGUAACAUCAAAUCGUACCCCAAACCGACACAGGUGGUCAGGUAGAGAAUACCAAGGCGCUUGAGAGAACUCGGGUGAAGGAACUAGGCAAAAUGGUGCCGUAACUUCGGGAGAAGGCACGCUGAUAUGUAGGUGAAGCGACUUGCUCGUGGAGCUGAAAUCAGUCGAAGAUACCAGCUGGCUGCAACUGUUUAUUAAAAACACAGCACUGUGCAAACACGAAAGUGGACGUAUACGGUGUGACGCCUGCCCGGUGCCGGAAGGUUAAUUGAUGGGGUUAGCGGUAACGCGAAGCUCUUGAUCGAAGCCCCGGUAAACGGCGGCCGUAACUAUAACGGUCCUAAGGUAGCGAAAUUCCUUGUCGGGUAAGUUCCGACCUGCACGAAUGGCGUAAUGAUGGCCAGGCUGUCUCCACCCGAGACUCAGUGAAAUUGAACUCGCUGUGAAGAUGCAGUGUACCCGCGGCAAGACGGAAAGACCCCGUGAACCUUUACUAUAGCUUGACACUGAACAUUGAGCCUUGAUGUGUAGGAUAGGUGGGAGGCUUUGAAGUGUGGACGCCAGUCUGCAUGGAGCCGACCUUGAAAUACCACCCUUUAAUGUUUGAUGUUCUAACGUUGGCCCGUAAUCCGGGUUGCGGACAGUGUCUGGUGGGUAGUUUGACUGGGGCGGUCUCCUCCUAAAGAGUAACGGAGGAGCACGAAGGUUGGCUAAUCCUGGUCGGACAUCAGGAGGUUAGUGCAAUGGCAUAAGCCAGCUUGACUGCGAGCGUGACGGCGCGAGCAGGUGCGAAAGCAGGUCAUAGUGAUCCGGUGGUUCUGAAUGGAAGGGCCAUCGCUCAACGGAUAAAAGGUACUCCGGGGAUAACAGGCUGAUACCGCCCAAGAGUUCAUAUCGACGGCGGUGUUUGGCACCUCGAUGUCGGCUCAUCACAUCCUGGGGCUGAAGUAGGUCCCAAGGGUAUGGCUGUUCGCCAUUUAAAGUGGUACGCGAGCUGGGUUUAGAACGUCGUGAGACAGUUCGGUCCCUAUCUGCCGUGGGCGCUGGAGAACUGAGGGGGGCUGCUCCUAGUACGAGAGGACCGGAGUGGACGCAUCACUGGUGUUCGGGUUGUCAUGCCAAUGGCACUGCCCGGUAGCUAAAUGCGGAAGAGAUAAGUGCUGAAAGCAUCUAAGCACGAAACUUGCCCCGAGAUGAGUUCUCCCUGAGACUUAGAGUCUCCUGAAGGAACGUUGAAGACGACGACGUUGAUAGGCCGGGUGUGUAAGCGCAGCGAUGCGUUGAGCUAACCGGUACUAAUGAACCGUGAGGCUUAACCUU
This 2905-nucleotide ribosomal RNA is filed under the name Escherichia coli. RNAcentral's name for it is "23S ribosomal RNA". It matches the Rfam family "Bacterial large subunit ribosomal RNA". The record is from RNAcentral. Lineage: Bacteria; Pseudomonadati; Pseudomonadota; Gammaproteobacteria; Enterobacterales; Enterobacteriaceae.